UACAGAGGUCUCAACCGUUGUUCGGAUUCAUUGGGCGUAAAGGGUGCGUAGGCGGUCGCGUAAGUCAGGUGUGAAAUCUCAGGGCUCAACCCUGAAACUGCACUUGAUACUGCGUGGCUCGGGUACUGGAGAGGAGACUGGAAUUUCCGGUGUAGCGGUGAAAUGCGUAGAGAUCGGAAGGAACACCAGUGGCGAAGGCGGCUACCUGGCCUAAUACUGACACUGAGGCACGAAAGCGUGGGGAGCAAACAGG
Molecule: ribosomal RNA, 253 nt
Filed under: uncultured bacterium
Lineage: Bacteria
Description: partial 16S ribosomal RNA
Rfam family: Bacterial small subunit ribosomal RNA
Source: RNAcentral